CAUGGUUGUCGUCAGCUCGUGUCGUGAGAUGUUGGGUUAAGUCCCGCAACGAGCGCAACCCUUAUUACUAGUUGCCAGCAUUCAGUUGGGCACUCUAGUGAGACUGCCGGUGACAAACCGGAGGAAGGUGGGGACGACGUCAAAUCAUCAUGCCCCUUAUGACCUGGGCUACACACGUGCUACAAUGGAUGGUACAACGAGUCGCGAAACCGCGAGGUUUAGCUAAUCUCUUAAAACCAUUCUCAGUUCGGACUGUAGGCUGCAACUCGCCUACACGAAGUCGGAAUCGCUAGUAAUCGCGGAUCAGCAUGCCGCGGUGAAUACGUUCCCGGGCCUUGUACACACCGCCCGUCACACCAUGAGAGUUUGUAACACCCAAAGCCGGUGGGGUAACCUUUUAGGAGCUAGCCGUCUAAGGUGGGACAGAUGAUUAGGGUGAAGUCGUAACAAGGUAGCCGUAGGAGAACCUGCGGCUGGAUCACCUCCUUUCUAAGGAAUAAUACGGAACCGCACACGAGUCAA
Molecule: ribosomal RNA, 522 nt
Filed under: Pediococcus acidilactici
Lineage: Bacteria; Bacillati; Bacillota; Bacilli; Lactobacillales; Lactobacillaceae
Description: bacterial SSU rRNA
Rfam family: Bacterial small subunit ribosomal RNA
Source: RNAcentral